CUGAGCGCGGGGGCGCAGGCGACCGCGAGGGGGCGCUGGGCGGACGGGCCCCGGUUGGGGAGCCGCCGGAGGGGGGGAGCGGGUAGCGGAGCAAAGGCGCGCGGGCCCCGCCCCGCCCUCCCCAAGUGGGGAAACUGAGCCCGCGAGACGGAAAAAGGGCCCCAGAGCGCUGGUAAAGCGGCACGUGUGUCCUGGGGCUGCAGAAGCACUUGAGCCACGUCCAGCAGCAGUGAGAAAGCGUGAUGACAAUGCUGCGUAUUAGUUUGCGCGACAUCGGUGGUAAUAAAUCACUAGCACACCUUGCGUGGCCCCUCGGUACCUUGAUGAGCCCAUGACGCCUUCGCUUCCCUGAAGCUUCGCGGUUGACAAAGGGAAUUGAGGACAGGAGAGCAGGGCAGAUCAUGGGCCGUCCGUGGACGUGAGCGGGUUGUUGGAGGCUGGAAUGCUGCUGUCUCCGGUGCAGCCUGUCACCAGCCAAGGGGUCUGCCACAUUCCACACCGGCCAGAUUUCCAGUCACAAGGCUCUCUCCCUCUGAGCAGGCUGGUUUUCCUGAGGAUGAGGGAGCCUCGCCCCUGGGGGAGAUGCGUGGGGACAACGCUCACUUCUGCCUUCUUUCUCCUGGGCUGCUGGGGACGCUCCGAUUUCCAGCAGGUGGGCGAAUCUGCAGGAGCU
RNAcentral lists this long non-coding RNA (673 nucleotides) under Lynx canadensis (Canada lynx). Its description in RNAcentral is "lncRNA (ENSLCNG00005021951.1)". Lineage: Eukaryota; Metazoa; Chordata; Mammalia; Carnivora; Felidae. The record is from RNAcentral.